CAGCCAUGCCGCGUGUGUGAAGAAGGCCUUCGGGUUGUAAAGCACUUUCAGUCGUGAGGAAGGUGGUAGUGUUAAUAGCACUAUCAUUUGACGUUAGCGACAGAAGAAGCACCGGCUAACUCCGUGCCAGCAGCCGCGGUAAUACGGAGGGUGCGAGCGUUAAUCGGAAUUACUGGGCGUAAAGCGCAUGCAGGUGGUUUGUUAAGUCAGAUGUGAAAGCCCGGGGCUCAACCUCGGAAUAGCAUUUGAAACUGGCAGACUAGAGUACUGUAGAGGGGGGUAGAAUUUCAGGUGUAGCGGUGAAAUGCGUAGAGAUCUGAAGGAAUACCGGUGGCGAAGGCGGCCCCCUGGACAGAUACUGACACUCAGAUGCGAAAGCGUGGGGAGCAAACAGGAUUAGAUACCCUGGUAGUCCACGCCGUAAACGAUGUCUACUUGGAGGUUGUGGCCUUGAGCCGUGGCUUUCGGAGCUAACGCGUUAAGUAGACCGCCUGG
RNAcentral lists this ribosomal RNA (495 nucleotides) under Vibrio sp. RNAcentral's name for it is "bacterial SSU rRNA". It matches the Rfam family "Bacterial small subunit ribosomal RNA", at positions 389 to 876 of the family's 1533-position model. Lineage: Bacteria; Pseudomonadati; Pseudomonadota; Gammaproteobacteria; Vibrionales; Vibrionaceae. The record is from RNAcentral.